ACAAACCCGGCGCGCGCGCAUGCAUCGAGAAUGAUCCGGUGAAGGCCAGGACCCUGACGUGCGGCGAACAAUAUCCAUGGAUCGUGCGCGAGAUCGGACAGCUUGAUCUGCUCAUAUCGCGCCAGUGAAUGUCUUUCUGGAAUGGCCGCGACCAGCCGGUAACCCUCACGGCUCAGGUUGUCGGCGUCGUGAAGGGGCGGAAUGACAAAGCCGAGAUCGGCUUCCUGUGCAUUCAGCAAGCCGAUCUGCUGCGCUGUCAUCG
This 262-nucleotide unclassified non-coding RNA is filed under the name Hevea brasiliensis (rubber tree). The record is from RNAcentral. Lineage: Eukaryota; Viridiplantae; Streptophyta; Magnoliopsida; Malpighiales; Euphorbiaceae.